CGGAGUCUGAAUGACAAGGUGGCCGGCUAUGCCAGUGUCUGGAUGACAAAGCUAACGAGACGAGUCUCACAUCGCCUGAUGAUCUUGGGCUGUGUGUGUGAUUGGACUGACGAGGACGUCAGGGCCUUAACGGGGGGAGUCUGACUUAGACACUAGUAAUAAUAACUGGGCUUAAUCAUUUUGGGCUGGUGGUUUGGGCCGAACGAGUUAUUAUUGCUAG
Molecule: long non-coding RNA, 220 nt
Filed under: Ananas comosus (pineapple)
Lineage: Eukaryota; Viridiplantae; Streptophyta; Magnoliopsida; Poales; Bromeliaceae
Description: long non-coding RNA (ACOM_LNC025799)
Source: RNAcentral